GUUUUAUUGCACACAGACCUGCUGAGUGCCCGACCGAUCCUUUAAUCCCCACUGCUCUUUGCUAUAAAUCAUGAUUAAGCCAGAACCAGGCACGAGAAACAAAGCAGUUCUUGGGCCUUUAGCAGCAGUGCAGGACUCCCUCGCCACCUCCCUUGGCUUUAGGCACCGCUUUGCUUUGGACAUGGGACAGGACCCUGCUUACUGAAGGCUCCGUGCUUUGCAUCUCGUGUUUCUGCAGCGCCUUUCGGCCGAUGAGUGCGAGCACGCUUUGCGAAAAUGGAUGAGCCGAGCUGCGGUCUUUCAGCAGUGAGUCAGAACAGCAUCAGUUCUAUCAUCCCCACUUCAGAGCCGAGGGGAAGCAGCAGUUGUUUGCUCGGUGUCACGCUGCGAGGCAGCGGCACAGCCCGAAGCGCAGCCCGCAGAGAGUCUCGCCGACGUGUCCCCAUCCCAAACCACUAAGUGACCCCCGCAGGAAUAGCUGCAAACAGGAUCCGGGUGCCCCUCUGCUGGCAGCCCCUGCAGCCCAACAUCCUGACUCCCAAUCCCUUUCCUACCCCACGCUCCCACCCACAGCUGGAAAUAGUCGGGCAGCCCCGAGCAGCGGCUCCAACCACCGCAGCUCCUCCUCUCCCUGCAGAACGUGUCACCAGGAGAACAUCGUGCUGGCCUGCAAGCCGCUUGCUGUUUCCUUUCUUUUGCUCAUUGCCUCAGCUCUGCCCACUCCCAAAGCAGGGCUGCUUUUGGCUCUUUCAUCCUUUAACCCGCAGCCCCGGCAGCACAAGGGGGGCUCAGGAAGGCGGUGCUGUGGGGCUGAUCCAGUUGGUGCAGUACUGGAGCCGAGCAGUGCUCUCCGCGGUGGGAAGCAAAAUGACAGACCGCUGCCUCCUUGCAGGCUGCAAUUUCAUCCUCCCGUUGCGAUAUUCACUGCAGUUAAUGAGCACCCUGCCUGCUCUGCGCAGGCUGCUGUGGCUGGGGAGCGUGUCAGCCCAGGGAGAAUGGAGCUUUCUAGGAUUCAGGGGAAGGAGCCUCUAGGGCCGGGGAUUGGCUGGGAGCUGGGCCAGACGUGACCCAGAGAAAUGGAGCUCGCUGCAGAGCUCUCCCAGUCCCUCGUGGCCGAUGCGCUGCGCUGGGCUGGGGCUGAUUCAUCUCCAAACUCAGCUUUGAAGUGCUGACACCGGUUGUGC
RNAcentral lists this long non-coding RNA (1184 nucleotides) under Numida meleagris (helmeted guineafowl). RNAcentral's name for it is "lncRNA (ENSNMEG00000005252.1)". Lineage: Eukaryota; Metazoa; Chordata; Aves; Galliformes; Numididae. The record is from RNAcentral.